GAGCUCAUAUCAGCAGCAUAUAUACUAAAAUUGAAAAGAUAUAAAAAGAGUAGUACAGCCCCUGAACAAAGAUGACACACAAAGUCAUGAUAACAUUCCAUAUUUU
This is a small nuclear RNA of Suncus etruscus (white-toothed pygmy shrew), 106 nucleotides long. Lineage: Eukaryota; Metazoa; Chordata; Mammalia; Eulipotyphla; Soricidae. The record is from RefSeq and is a predicted model, not a curated record.